RNAcentral lists this ribosomal RNA (468 nucleotides) under uncultured bacterium. RNAcentral's name for it is "partial 16S ribosomal RNA". It matches the Rfam family "Bacterial small subunit ribosomal RNA", at positions 28 to 507 of the family's 1533-position model. The record is from RNAcentral.
GACGAACGCUGGCGGCGUGCUUAACACAUGCAAGUCGAGCGGAAAGGCCCUGCUUUUGUGGGGUGCUCGAGUGGCGAACGGGUGAGUAACACGUGAGUAACCUCCCCUUGACUUUGGGAUAACUUCAGGAAACUGGGGCUAAUACCGGAUAGGAGCUCCUGCUGCAUGGUGGGGGUUGGAAAGUUUCGGCGGUUGGGGAUGGACUCGCGGCUUAUCAGCUUGUUGGUGGGGUAGUGGCUUACCAAGGCUUUGACGGGUAGCCGGCCUGAGAGGGUGACCGGCCACAUUGGGACUGAGAUACGGCCCAGACUCCUACGGGAGGCAGCAGUGGGGAAUAUUGCACAAUGGGCGGAAGCCUGAUGCAGCAACGCCGCGUGCGGGAUGACGGCCUUCGGGUUGUAAACCGCUUUCGCCUGUGACGAAGCGUGAGUGACGGUAAUGGGUAAAGAAGCACCGGCUAACUACGUG